Molecule: long non-coding RNA, 246 nt
Filed under: Ictidomys tridecemlineatus (thirteen-lined ground squirrel)
Lineage: Eukaryota; Metazoa; Chordata; Mammalia; Rodentia; Sciuridae
Description: lncRNA (ENSSTOG00000030860.1)
Source: RNAcentral
GUUGAAGUAUCUAAAGCAUGAGAAGUCUGUCACAUGCUUCUCUCUCCUCCCCGCAACAUAGACAAACACAGUUCCAAGCAAAAGGAGUGAGAACAGUUCCUUCAACUUCGAAAUCCUGUGCAAAAUUGAUCAAGAUCUACAUAUUUUCAUAGACAUAAGCAGUUCUGUCUUGAAGGAUAAAGGAAAUUUAGAUUCCUCUUUCUGACCAGUGACUGCCAUAUAAUCAGGAGAACCCAACAAUUUCAG